GAUGAACGCUAGCGGCAGGCCUAACACAUGCAAGUCGAGGGGCAGCACAGAAACAGCAAUGUUUUGGUGGCGACCGGCGGACGGGUGCGUAACGCGUAUGCAACCUACCUUUGACAGGGGGAUAACGGAGAGAAAUUUCCACUAAUACCCCAUAACAUCGAUCAAGGCAUCUUGAUUGGUUGAAAACUCCGGUGGUUAAAGAUGGGCAUGCGUUGUAUUAGGUAGUUGGUGAGGUAAUGGCUCACCAAGCCUACGAUACAUAGGGGGACUGAGAGGUUCGCCCCCCACAAUAGAACUGAGAGACGGACGAGACUCCUACGGGAGGCAGCAGUGAGGAAUAUUGGUCAAUGGGGGCAACCUUGAACCAGCCAUGCCGCGUGCAGGAAGACGGCUCUAUGAUUUGUAAACUGCUUUUAAACAGGGAUAAAGCACAGUAUGUAUACUGUGUUGAAGGUACUGUAAGAAUAAGGAUCGGCUAACUCCGUGCCAGCAGCCGCCGUAA
Molecule: ribosomal RNA, 502 nt
Filed under: uncultured bacterium
Lineage: Bacteria
Description: partial 16S ribosomal RNA
Rfam family: Bacterial small subunit ribosomal RNA
Source: RNAcentral